Long non-coding RNA from Macrobrachium nipponense, 303 nucleotides. RefSeq lists it as uncharacterized. The record is from RefSeq and is a predicted model, not a curated record. Lineage: Eukaryota; Metazoa; Arthropoda; Malacostraca; Decapoda; Palaemonidae. The transcript has 2 exons.
AUUCACUCACUCAAGUGCCUCUGUCGACUGAACACUCCUCAACCUCAGCUCUUCAAUAUGAAGGUGAUUGGCGCAAUGUUGUUCCUUCUGGUGGCCCUGUUUGCCAUCUUGGGAUCCUCUGAGGCCAUGCCGGAGCCUGAAGCUGAUCCUGGCUUCCUCGGUGGUGGAUACUAUAGGCCUUAUUACAGACCCAUCAUCAGCUAUGGCUAUGGAGGCUAUGGUGGUUACGGAGGCUACGGAUGGUAAAUGUUUCUCUUAAAAAGCUACAUUGUAAUUAGGUUUCACAAUAAAUUACAGAUAAAA